Molecule: long non-coding RNA, 505 nt
Organism: Episyrphus balteatus (marmalade hoverfly)
Lineage: Eukaryota; Metazoa; Arthropoda; Insecta; Diptera; Syrphidae
Exons: 2
Source: RefSeq, a predicted model, not a curated record
CAAUCAUAUUUCUACCAUGCCUACAAAUAAAAGUAAGAAUUUUUUAAAGCCAACUUCCUACGCUGGUGGGUGGUCAUCGGCAACAGUAGUUUUCACUUCAAAAAAAAUAGACAGGUAAACGCAGUUUACAAUUGAGAAAUUGUUUUAUAGUUGUUAUAUGCAGGAUUAAUAACUCAAUGGAAGAGCUGCUAGCAAAAAGCAGUGAAGCAGUUUUUCUUACAGGAAUUCAUCGGGGAACUUUGGUACGAAGACAAAUUAUUUAAAUUAUUUAAGGUAAACUAUGUUAAUCGACAAUCAUAUCCACGUAUUCGGAUAUAAGAUAUCACUUUUUACGAGAUGCAUUCAAAAAUGAAAAAUAUAACAAGAAAACUUACCAAUAGGAAAAAUUGUUGAAGUUUUUCUUAAGAAGCCUCUUUCUCAUACAUAUGUAUAUUAUUCGAAUCAAUUUUCUUCAUUCUUGUUUUAUAUUUCAUUUGAAAAUAAAAUUUAUUUAAUUCUUUGAAAA